RNAcentral lists this unclassified non-coding RNA (312 nucleotides) under Hevea brasiliensis (rubber tree). Lineage: Eukaryota; Viridiplantae; Streptophyta; Magnoliopsida; Malpighiales; Euphorbiaceae. The record is from RNAcentral.
CUUAAAAGAUUUAAACUCAUUAGGUGUGCUUUACAAGCAAUGGUUAUGAGUGAUUAAUGGGCACAAUACUGAGAAGAUGGCCAGGGCAAAGCUAUAUUUGUUCGUGAUAAAGCGGUAGAUGAGAAUUGGUGGAAAAAAGUUGAUUACAUUCUUACUUUUACAGGGCCCAUUUAUAACAUUAUCAGAGUUUGUGAUGUAGACAAACCAUGCAUUCAUUUGGUUUAUGAGUUAUGAGAUUCUAUGAUUGAAAAGGUGAAGAAAGUUAUUUUUAAUCAUGAAGGAAAGCAGGCAGAUGGGUUUUCUCCUUUUUAU